GGUUAUAAUGGCGUCAGUCUCGUGGGUUGUAUGGUAAAGCAUACAGAGUGAAUCUUUUAAUGUUUUUUUUUUUAUUUUAGCGCCCAAAACAAUUUUCUGGGAUCGUGUUGAAUACUACUUGACCUACUUCAUUAUGUUUGAAGGCUGGAAUCAGGGAAAUUAAAGAUAAUUGUGCGUCAAUGACGAUUCCGUGGAGAAUUAGAAAUUUGGUUGCAUCCAACCUGAACAUUUUUUAAUCACGGUAAAGAUGAUAAUGACAACAAAUAACACUGGAUAAUACAGUAGCUCAAGUAUGGCCAAAUUAAUCUAGAUGAUGGUACCUGGGUAAUUGUGGUUGACAUCUGUCAGAUUGGAGAAGUGUGGCUUUUGGACUCCAACAAGACUACAAACUAACACACUCCGAUUGAUACACUGUUAAGACAAGAAGAUAAAUGAAGAAAAUGAAUGGGAUAGAAACUUACAGAUGCUUGAAAGAAAACCAUUCUAAGGAGGAGGUCAAGGAACAUGAAAUGCUUCAAACCUUUGAAACGCAAAUAUUUAAAAAAUUGACACGAGUGGUUUUGGAGGAAGAGAAUACUCCUAGGAUCCGGAUGUGAGAGAAGGACAAAAGACAACGGAAGGUCCAAGAAAGGUCAAUGAAAAGGAGGGAGAAAUUUGCUAUCAUUCCGAAUUGUCUCGUGUAGUGCUCUUACUGUAAACUGAAACUGGU
Molecule: long non-coding RNA, 709 nt
Filed under: Pocillopora damicornis (cauliflower coral)
Lineage: Eukaryota; Metazoa; Cnidaria; Anthozoa; Scleractinia; Pocilloporidae
Description: uncharacterized LOC113671000, transcript variant X3
Source: RNAcentral